Molecule: ribosomal RNA, 530 nt
Filed under: Guyanancistrus niger
Lineage: Eukaryota; Metazoa; Chordata; Actinopteri; Siluriformes; Loricariidae
Description: partial 16S ribosomal RNA
Rfam family: Bacterial large subunit ribosomal RNA
Source: RNAcentral
UCACGUAUAAGAGGUCUUGCCUGCCCAGUGACAAAGUUAAACGGCCGCGGUAUUUUGACCGUGCAAAGGUAGCGCAAUCACUUGUCUUUUAAAUGAAGACCUGUAUGAAUGGUAGAACGAGGGCUUAACUGUCUCCCCCCUCUAGUCAAUGAAAUUGAUCUACCCGUGCAGAAGCGGGUAUAAAUAUACAAGACGAGAAGACCCUUUGGAGCUUAAGAUAAAAGGCCAACUAUGUUAAAAGUCCCAAAAAAAGACUAAACCAAAUUAGUACUGGUCCCAAUCUUCGGUUGGGGUGACCACGGGAGAAAGUAAAGCUCCCAUGCAGACUGGGAUAAACCCCCUAAAACUAAGAGAGACAUCUCUAAGGCACAGAACAUCUGACUAAAAGAUCCGGCAACAUGCCGACCAACGAACCAAGUUACCCUAGGGAUAACAGCGCAAUCCCCUUCCAGAGUCCAUAUCGACAAGGGGGUUUACGACCUCGAUGUUGGAUCAGGAUAUCCUAAUGGUGCAGCCGCUAUUAAGGGUUC